RNAcentral lists this ribosomal RNA (484 nucleotides) under uncultured bacterium. RNAcentral's name for it is "partial 16S ribosomal RNA". It matches the Rfam family "Bacterial small subunit ribosomal RNA", at positions 30 to 507 of the family's 1533-position model. The record is from RNAcentral.
AUUGAACGCUGGCGGCAGGCCUAACACAUGCAAGUCGAGCGGAUGAAGGGAGUUUGUUCUGGUUUGAGGCGGCGGAGGGGGGAAUAAGUCCUAGGACACUCCCGGGACGGGGGGAAUACCGCCGGAAAAGGGCGCCUAUUACCGAGUCCGCCCUGAGGCAAAAGCGGGGGGAUCUUCGUACCUAUGGCAUCCGGAGAAGCCUAGGUGGGAUUAGCUAGUUGGUGGGGUAAAGGCCUACCAAGGGGACGAUCCGUAACUGGUCUGGGAGGAUGAUCAGUCCCACUGGAACUGAGACACGGUCCAGACUCCUACGGGAGGCAGCAGUGGGCAAUCUUGGACAAUGGGCGAAAGCCUGAUCCAGCCAUGCCGCGUGUGUGAAGAAGGUCUUCGGAUUGUAAAGCACGUUAAGUUGGGAGGAAGGGCAGUAAGUUAAUACCUUGCUGUUUUGACGUUACCAACAGAAUAAGCACCGGCUAACUUCGUG